CCUUCGAUAGCUCAGCUGGUAGAGCGGAGGACUGUAGAGGAUUCUACGUGUAGUCAUCCUUAGGUCGCUGGUUCGAUUCCGGCUCGAAGGA
RNAcentral lists this transfer RNA (91 nucleotides) under Fukomys damarensis (Damara mole-rat). It matches the Rfam family "tRNA". Rfam says of the family: Transfer RNA (tRNA) molecules are approximately 80 nucleotides in length. Their secondary structure includes four short double-helical elements and three loops (D, anti-codon, and T loops). The record is from Rfam by way of RNAcentral. Lineage: Eukaryota; Metazoa; Chordata; Mammalia; Rodentia; Bathyergidae.